This 301-nucleotide ribosomal RNA is filed under the name uncultured bacterium. RNAcentral's name for it is "partial 16S ribosomal RNA". It matches the Rfam family "Bacterial small subunit ribosomal RNA", at positions 509 to 807 of the family's 1533-position model. The record is from RNAcentral.
CAGUAGCCACGGUAAUACGUAGGGUGCGAGCGUUAAUCGGAAUUACUGGGCGUAAAGCGUGCGCAGGCGGUUGUGUAAGACAGGUGUGAAAUCCCCGGGCUUAACCUGGGAACUGCGCUUGUGACUGCACAGCUAGAGUAUGGCAGAGGGGGGUGGAAUUCCACGUGUAGCAGUGAAAUGCGUAGAGAUGUGGAGGAACACCGAUGGCGAAGGCAGCCCCCUGGGCCAAUACUGACGCUCAUGCACGAAAGCGUGGGGAGCAAACAGGAUUAGAUACCCGCGUAGUCCCUGUCUCUUAUAC